CCCUUAGAUGUUCUGGGCCGCACGCGCGCUACACUGAUGCAUUCAACGAGCCUACCCUUGACCGAGAGGUCCGGGUAAUCUUUGAAACUGCAUCGUGAUGGGGCUAGAUUAUUGCAAUUAUUAAUCUUCAACGAGGAAUGCCUAGUAAGCGCGAUUCAUCAAAUCGCGUUGAUUACGUCCCUGCCCUUUGUACACACCGCCCGUCGCUCCUACCGAUUGAGUGUGUUGGUGAGGAGUUUGGAUUGGCCUCGGAAGGUGGUUCGCCACCGUCCGUAGCUGAGAAGUUCUCCAAACCGCCCCACUUAGAGGAAGGAGAAGUCGUAACA
Molecule: ribosomal RNA, 326 nt
Filed under: uncultured eukaryote
Lineage: Eukaryota
Description: partial 18S ribosomal RNA
Rfam family: Eukaryotic small subunit ribosomal RNA
Source: RNAcentral